GUUGCACUGUGCUAGUGUGGAUCUGGUCUUUGCCCCAGUUCUCCCAGUCUGACUGGUGCAGUUUUUACAUCUUUGCUGUACAGAUGUGACCAGAACAACAUGUUCCCUCCUGAUUUACUUUGGCAAAAAGCCAUGAAAUUAGUCAUGGCUGUAUUGUAGCACCAUGAAAAUUGUGGGGAUCAUUGCUGGGCCUCUUUCCAAAAUUCCUGGUGAUGAGAAGAGCAUUAAUGAGCUGUGAUUACCCUGGUACACAGGCCACAUCCAACCCUUCCUAUCCUGUGAGGGAGCUGCAGAAAGGUGACUGUUCUGACACAGGUAAGCUGAGUUCCACUAGCUGUGUGGGAGAAGUGGAGAAGACCUGGUGUUCUUCAAAUUUGGGGACCUUUCACUGUCAAAUGAGGCAUAAAUAUUUUGUCUUCUACAGCAAUUUGUGUGGGAUGGAGUGGAACUGGGAGAGGGAGGAAGAGCUGAUGUUGUGGCCCUGUAAGCUACAGCCCAAGGGUGGCAUCAGGUGGCCUCAGGAAGCCACAAGCAGGGAGAUGGAAUCUUGGCUCCACCUCUUGGGCUCUCAGCAGCUCUGUGAAACUUCUCAGCCUUCUCCAUCUGUCAAGACACUCCAAUAAAUCCCAUUUUAUUUGCCUUGAGCUAUCUCAAGGGUUUUAAUUACAAGCUCCCAUAUAAAGAAGAGUGACAAGGAGUAGCAGAUGGAUUAAUAAGGAAUUUUGCAGGAUACAGGUUACUGGUUCCUUUAUGCUCUGCCCACCACAGCCAACUUACCGCUGCUCUCAAUUAAAUGAUUAACCAAUGUCCAAUUAACAGCCAUGGGACAGAGCCUCCUAAUUUCAAAGCUCUUUAUUGUCUUCUCCAUGUGAGUUUUUUUCCCCAGGUGUUCUACACAAUCAAAGCCAAAGACUUAACAAGAAUCACAGAGUCAUAGAUUGGGUUGGAAGGGAACUUAAAAUUCGUCCAGCUCCAUCUCUGCCAUGGGCAGGGACACCUUUCAACUUCCAGGGUGCUCCAAGCCCCAUCCAACAUGGCCUGGGAUACUUCCAGGAAUGGAACAGCUACAGCUGCUCUGGGAAAUCCAUUCCAGGGCCUCAUCACCCUCACAGGAAGAAAUUCCUGCCCAAUAUCUCAUCCAACCCUACCCUCUGGCAGUCAGAAGCCAUUCCCCCUUGUCCAGUUCCUCCAUCCCUUGUCCCAAGCCUUCUCCAGCUCUCCUGGAGCCCCUUUAGACACUGGAAGGGAUUCUAAGGUCUCCCUGGAGCCCCCUUCCCUUCCCUUCCCUUCCCUUCCCUUCCCUUCCCUUCCCUUCCCUUCCCGCACCUUCCC
This 1332-nucleotide long non-coding RNA is filed under the name Cyanistes caeruleus (blue tit). RNAcentral's name for it is "lncRNA (ENSCCEG00000022586.1)". Lineage: Eukaryota; Metazoa; Chordata; Aves; Passeriformes; Paridae. The record is from RNAcentral.